AUGCUGUGGAACAAGCACCAUGGCAACAAGCAGCUCAUUGGAGCAUUUGAAGUCACAACCCCUCCUUGGUGGCGAACCGUCGAGCAUCCCCUUGCUCAGCAGGAAGCCAUCUUGCAGCUUGAGGCACACGGCCAAGCUGGGAACAUUUUUCUCCUCAAGCUUCGGUUCCUCGUGCUCGCAGCUUUUCCUCAGAGCACAAACAAAGUUGCGGUGGCGAUGCUCGUCGUGGCUGCAACAUUUGUGUUUAUGCCGUUCUGGAGCAUAGCCAUGGUCGUUCUGUUGGAGGCUUACAUGAGACAUAUGUCGUUGAGGAAGAAGAGCAGCGAGAAGCUGGUGAGGAGGUUUCUUGCAUGGAUGAUUUGUCUCUGUCUUUAG
This 375-nucleotide ribosomal RNA is filed under the name Triticum aestivum (bread wheat). RNAcentral's name for it is "partial small subunit ribosomal RNA". Lineage: Eukaryota; Viridiplantae; Streptophyta; Magnoliopsida; Poales; Poaceae. The record is from RNAcentral.